GGGCACGUAGCUCAGCCCGGAUAGAGCGUCGGACUUCUAACUGCGCCGGACGUUCCGGUGUGGGAAGACAUCCGACGGUCGUGGGUUCGAAUCCCACCGUGCCCG
Molecule: transfer RNA, 105 nt
Filed under: Natronomonas pharaonis DSM 2160
Lineage: Archaea; Methanobacteriati; Methanobacteriota; Halobacteria; Halobacteriales; Natronomonadaceae
Rfam family: tRNA
About the family: Transfer RNA (tRNA) molecules are approximately 80 nucleotides in length. Their secondary structure includes four short double-helical elements and three loops (D, anti-codon, and T loops).
Source: Rfam by way of RNAcentral